RNAcentral lists this transfer RNA (69 nucleotides) under Folsomotoma octooculata. RNAcentral describes it as "tRNA-Ser". It matches the Rfam family "tRNA". From Rfam's summary of the family: Transfer RNA (tRNA) molecules are approximately 80 nucleotides in length. Their secondary structure includes four short double-helical elements and three loops (D, anti-codon, and T loops). Further hydrogen bonds mediate the characteristic L-shaped molecular structure. tRNAs have two regions of fundamental functional importance: the anti-codon, which is responsible for specific mRNA codon recognition, and the 3' end, to which the tRNAs corresponding amino acid is attached (by aminoacyl-tRNA synthetases). tRNAs cope with the degeneracy of the genetic code in two manners: having more than one tRNA (with a specific anti-codon) for a particular amino acid; and 'wobble' base-pairing, i.e. permitting non-standard base-pairing at the 3rd anti-codon position. The record is from RNAcentral. Lineage: Eukaryota; Metazoa; Arthropoda; Collembola; Entomobryomorpha; Isotomidae.
AAUCAUUUAUCUUAAUUAAAGUCUUUACCUUGAAAGUAUUUUAUAAGAGUUUAAAUCUCUUAAUGAUUU